AUUGAACGCUGGCGGCAUGCCUUACACAUGCAAGUCGAACGGCAGCACUGGAGCAAUCCUGGUGGCGAGUGGCGAACGGGUGAGUAAUAUAUCGGAACGUGCCCAGUCGUGGGGGAUAACGCAGCGAAAGCUGUGCUAAUACCGCAUACGAUCUAUGGAUGAAAGCGGGGGAUCGCAAGACCUCGCGCGAUUGGAGCGGCCGAUAUCAGAUUAGCUAGUUGGUGGGGUAAAGGCCUACCAAGGCGACGAUCUGUAGCGGGUCUGAGAGGAUGAUCCGCCACACUGGGACUGAGACACGGCCCAGACUCCUACGGGAGGCAGCAGUGGGGAAUUUUGGACAAUGGGCGAAAGCCUGAUCCAGCCAUGCCGCGUGAGUGAAGAAGGCCUUCGGGUUGUAAAGCUCUUUCGGCUGGGAAGAAAUCGCACAGGCUAAUACUCUGUGUGGAUGACGGUACCAGCACAAGAAGCACCGGCUAACUACGUGCCAGCCGCCGCCGUAA
Molecule: ribosomal RNA, 500 nt
Filed under: uncultured bacterium
Lineage: Bacteria
Description: partial 16S ribosomal RNA
Rfam family: Bacterial small subunit ribosomal RNA
Source: RNAcentral